CAUCACAGAGCCUCCCGCUUUGGUGACGCAUUGUGCACUGCAAAAAGCUUACCUUGGGAUUCCCAGUAUACUCUGAAGUUUCUGAUUUAGAGUCCAAGGCAACACCAAGAAGGUCUAUUGGGUUACGUCAAACCACCCAAAGAUUAAAUCUCAAAAAACAAGGAUCAGAGCAAGAUGGGUGAGAAGCAACCCCGAAGGGGAUGCCCAGGGUUAUGCUUGACGCAGAAAACAACAAUAAAAAAUAAAGUGACGAGCAGCAAAAGAGAUAGCAAAGAUGCAAAAGGAGAAGGAGUACAAGCAACUGAGAAAAUCAAGAACAGAGGAUCAGACCUUGGAAAGUUCUUGUACAGGGGCUAGGGAUUUUUUAACCAAAAAUAAAUAUAUGACAUAAUGUGCAUCGCUGGAUGGUUUAGCUACUG
RNAcentral lists this long non-coding RNA (419 nucleotides) under Amborella trichopoda. RNAcentral's name for it is "long non-coding RNA (ATRI_LNC002917)". Lineage: Eukaryota; Viridiplantae; Streptophyta; Magnoliopsida; Amborellales; Amborellaceae. The record is from RNAcentral.